Long non-coding RNA from Pseudoliparis swirei, 318 nucleotides. RefSeq lists it as uncharacterized. NCBI's taxonomy places the organism in Eukaryota, Metazoa, Chordata, Actinopteri, Perciformes, Liparidae. The transcript is spliced from 2 exons. The record is from RefSeq and is a predicted model, not a curated record.
GCCUGGAGGAACUCGGCCAGCCUCCCCUCCAUCUGUGCUGUGGCCUGGUGGAUCACAAGAGACCGGGAGCAGUGGAGAACUGAGACGCGGGACUUUGAACCAACCAAAAGGUGUUAAAGGCUGGACUCACCUUUGAGAGUGAGGAUUGGCUGUUUUUGAGACUAAUACUCUGUACUGGAGAAAGAGCGCUCUCUUUCGACGGAACCCAGAGGGCUUCAGGCUGGAUCCUGAGGAGCCCGGGACCAUCACGAAGACCGCGAUCGUGAGCCUUGAUCGUUUUGUUUUACUUUUCUUGCCAUUAAAUAUUGUUUAACUUAA